RNA transcript from Cucumis melo (muskmelon), 3013 nucleotides. It is a transcript of the gene named probable starch synthase 4, chloroplastic/amyloplastic, with no coding region annotated. NCBI's taxonomy places the organism in Eukaryota, Viridiplantae, Streptophyta, Magnoliopsida, Cucurbitales, Cucurbitaceae. The record is from RefSeq and is a predicted model, not a curated record. The transcript is spliced from 19 exons.
AUAAAAAAUAAAAAGACAAAACAACAACAACAAUUAAUUUGUGAGAUAAAUGCUCUCACCAAAGCGGGGGGAAAAAUGAAAAAGGAAUUCACGCUCCAAACUUCCAACUUCCAUCGUCUUCUGAUUGGUUCUUAAUUGCUCAUAUUUCCGGGAACUGGCAUACGUGAUCGUUUCCUUUCGACGGAGGAGGAUCAUUGGAUUCGAAGCUCACAUGCUGCUACAGCUGAACUUCUGGCAUUUGCUAUUCAGACCUUCUCUGUAGGUGUCUAUUUUGUGCUUUCUUUGUUAAUCAGCUCAAUCGCCAUCUUCAUUCACCAAAGCCACACCCUGUGGGCGAGCUUUUGAGCCCGAGUAUAAUGGUUGUUUCUACACUAACGACGACUACCUUCUCUUCAUGUUUUCCCUUUCCAAAAUGCAUCCCUGCCCACUUGAAAUCUUCUGGAGGUCACCCUCGAACUCUCUGUUGCUCAAGUGGAGAUGAAGAUCUUAAUGGCUUAAUUAAUGUGUCAUCGAUGUCGGAGUCGGAAAGACGUGGGGGUGCACAGAUGGUGAAGUCGUCAGAUGGUGAAUUACCGGCAAAAAACAGUGAAAUUUGGCAACUCUUCAAAGAAGCUCGGCAGAAUAUCUUGUACUUGGAUAAACAACGUGCUCUUGCUAUAGAGGAGCUGAACAAAGCAAUCAGUGAGAAAAACUCACUGCUUGAAAAGAUCGAGGAACUAGAGUUAGAAAAGCAGGCUAUGGAUAGAAAAGAUCAGGCAUCAAUAUGCUGGCAGUUGCUACUUCGGAUUGAUUCUAUGGUUCUCACCGGCAUGAUUAACUCUGAAGAGGUGUCUAAAAUGAGACGGCUGGUAAUGGAUCACAAAGUUAGCAUCGUUGAUGCUUUCACAGAUAUCCUGCAGAAGAAAGAUGCUGAGGUUUUAGCAGAGCUACGUCAGUUUUCUUACAGAAGCAAGAAGAAUGGUUUUCACAUUGUUCACAUUUGUACUGAAAUGGCUCCAAUAGCAUCUUUUGGAGCGGUAGCAUCAUUUGUAACAGGGUUAUCUCAAGCUCUACAAAGAAAAGGACACUUGGUGGAGGUUAUCUUACCAAAAUGGAUCGCAAAGUUUAAGUUCAACAUGUUGCUUUCAAGGUAUGGAAGCAUGAACCUAAAUGAGGUUCAAGGGUUGCGAGAGAUUGAGGUGGAGUACUAUUCGUAUUUUAAUGGCCAACUGCAUGGAAACAAGAUAUGGACCGGGGUUGUUCGUGGCAUAGGGGUUACUUUCAUUCAACCUUUGUAUUACUCAUCAUUUUUCAACCGUGAGAAGGCACAUGGAUACUCUGAUGACUUUGAACGUUUUAUGUACUUCUCUCGAGCAUCAUUGGACUACAUUGUGAAAUCUGGCAAGAAGCCUGAUGUGUUACACAUACACAAUUGGCAAACUGCUUUAAUAGGACCGCUUUUCUGGGACAUUUUUGUUCAACAGGGACUUGAAGGUUCUAGAAUCUUAUUUUCGUGUCAUGACAUUCAUGCACAGUCUCUAGUACAACCGGAGAAACUAGCACUAUGUGGACUUGAUCCUGCAAGGCUUCAUCGCCCUGACCGUCUGCAAGACAGUUCCAAUACGCACCUUGCAAACCCAAUGAAGGGUGGAAUCGUUUACUCCAAUAAAGUUGUAAUAAUGUCAUCCACACAUUCGAAAGGCCGUAUAAUUCAUAGUUCGAGUCAUGGUUUGGAAACUACCUUAAACAUGCACAAGGAAAAAUUGCUUGUUGCUCCUUGUGGGUUUGACAGCUCGGCUUGGGAUCCUGAAAAAGAUAAAAUUCUUCCAGAAAAUUAUAGUGCAGAUGAUAUGAAAGGAAAAGCUGUAUGCAAAAUCGCAUUGCAGAAAAAAAUGGGGUUAGCUGAGAAUUCUUCUUUUAUUACCGUUGGAUGUUUUUUGUCAGAUUUGUCAGAUUUGUCAGAUGUUGACACAGAGAACCUGAGAGCAAUUGUUCAGAAUGCUACCAAAAUGGGUGUCCAGUUCAUUUUCAUGAUGACUGGGGAAGUGACAAGUAGACACAAGGGACUAGAAUCUCUUCAAGUAAAAAUUGAGGAUGCAAACGUGAGGUUCAUAAACAGACACGAUGAGACAUUGUCACAUCUCAUUUUUGGAGGCUCCGACAUUAUUCUUUGUCAUUCUCUUCACGAUCCUAUUCUGCAAGUGCCAGUAAGUUAUUAAUUUUCUCUUGAUCCAGAGUACGAAAGCCAAAUGGCCGAAGGCAGAGGGAAAUCCCCUCCCCAAAGCAACUAAAUCAGUACAGCCUUCCAAUAAUUUAUAAUAGACAAUCAACUGUAGCUUCAAAUGCAUUUUUUUUCCGGUGUGGUUAGAGCACCCUAUAUGAAGUGUGCUAAUUUUCUGUAACUGAUGAAAAGAAACCCCACAAUGCGACCUCCUUAUCCUAAAAAAUUCUGCUGUUUCUUUCCCUCCAAGUCAGCCAUCAUUGCACAGUUCCACAAAAUGUGACUGUCUUUCGAAAGAGGACCACCAAAGGAUUUAGAAUAAGGUGCUCCAUCUUAUCUGGAAGGCACAUAUCCAUCCCAAACUUUUGCUGCACAAAAGCCCAACCUUUCCUAUCAAAUGAACAAUGAAUGUAAAUGUGGUCAAACGUCUCUUUGUUUUACUUACCAGCAAUCUGAGGUGGAGAUUGUUCGGUGGGGCAAUUUUCUUUGGAGUUUUGCUGCUGUGUUUAACUAGUUUGGGGAUCUUCGGGCCCCAAAAUAAUCUUCUCCAGAGGAACUCUUCCUCGAGAGCUCUCUAUCAAACAGAGAGAAUAGGUGAACUCUUCAGGAAGAGGAAAUAUGCAUUGAAGUCGACCUUAGGUCAGUUUUAAGUUGAAGGCUCUGAGAUAUGGAUCUGCACCGAUUGCAAUUACCACCAAUAACGAUAAUGGAUUCAGGCACUUUCCAGAUCAUGACAACGAGACCACUAAAUUAGCCAUGUUCAUUAACUCUACCUUCGGAUACUUGUCCUUCCGCCAAGCCCUAGAUGAAAUU